RNAcentral lists this ribosomal RNA (384 nucleotides) under Lactifluus annulatoangustifolius. RNAcentral's name for it is "LSU rRNA". It matches the Rfam family "Bacterial large subunit ribosomal RNA", at positions 1720 to 2094 of the family's 2925-position model. Lineage: Eukaryota; Fungi; Basidiomycota; Agaricomycetes; Russulales; Russulaceae. The record is from RNAcentral.
AAUUAUCCUCAUAAGUUUGACAAUAAGAGAAACCAUCAAAAUUAAAUUAAGAAUAAUUUAAAUAAUAAUAUGGUAUAAUAAAAUCGGAGGCCACGACUGUUUACUAAAAACAUAAUUCAGAGCAAUAAUUAAGAUAAUAGUAUUCUGGAUGAAAUUUGCUCAAUGCCAUUAAUAUAAGAAAGGUAAUUUAAAAGUUACUAAUUGAAAGUCUGGUUAAUAGCGGUCUUAACUAUGAGGAUCCUAAGGUAGCAAAAUCAAUUGGCCAUUAAAUGUGGUCUUGUAUCAAUAAUGUAACGAUGGUCUCACUGUCUCUACAACUUGCUCAGUGAAAUUGAAUUGUGAGUGCAGAUGCUCACUGUCUUCAGAGGGACGGGAAGACCCUAU